GUGACCCCAAGUCAGGUG
This 18-nucleotide ribosomal RNA is filed under the name Raphia farinifera. Its description in RNAcentral is "partial 26S ribosomal RNA". The record is from RNAcentral. Lineage: Eukaryota; Viridiplantae; Streptophyta; Magnoliopsida; Arecales; Arecaceae.